GAUGAACGCUGGCGGCGUGCCUAAUACAUGCAAGUCGAGCGAACAGAUGAGGAGCUUGCUCCUCUGACGUUAGCGGCGGACGGGUGAGUAACACGUGGAUAACCUACCUAUAAGACUGGGAUAACUUCGGGAAACCGGAGCUAAUACCGGAUAAUAUAUUGAACCGCAUGGUUCAAUAGUGAAAGAUGGUUUUGCUGUCACUUAUAGAUGGAUCCGCGCCGCAUUAGCUAGUUGGUAAGGUAACGGCUUACCAAGGCAACGAUGCGUAGCCGACCUGAGAGGGUGAUCGGCCACACUGGAACUGAGACACGGUCCAGACUCCUACGGGAGGCAGCAGUAGGGAAUCUUCCGCAAAGGGCGAAAGCCUGACGGAGCAACGCCGCGUGAGUGAUGAAGGUCUUCGGAUCGUAAAACUCUGUUAUUAGGGAAGAACAAAUGUGUAAGUAACUAUGCACGUCUUGACGGUACCUAAUCAGAAAGCCACGGCUAACUACGUG
Molecule: ribosomal RNA, 497 nt
Filed under: uncultured bacterium
Lineage: Bacteria
Description: partial 16S ribosomal RNA
Rfam family: Bacterial small subunit ribosomal RNA
Source: RNAcentral